UUCCAGACUCCUACGGGAGGCAGCAGUGGGGAAUAUUGCACAAUGGGGGAAACCCUGAUGCAGCGACGCCGCGUGAGUGAAGAAGUAUUUCGGUAUGUAAAGCUCUAUCAGCAGGGAAGAAAAUGACGGUACCUGACUAAGAAGCCCCGGCUAACUACGUGCCAGCAGCCGCGGUAAUACGUAGGGGGCAAGCGUUAUCCGGAUUUACUGGGUGUAAAGGGCGUGUAGCCGGGUUGACAAGUCAGAUGUGAAAUCCUGCGGCUUAACCGCAGAACUGCAUUUGAAACUGUUGAUCUUGAGUGCUGGAGAGGCAAUCGGAAUUCCGUGUGUAGCGGUGAAAUGCGUAGAUAUACGGAGGAACACCAGUGGCGAAGGCGGAUUGCUGGACAGUAACUGACGCUGAGGCGCGAAAGCGUGGGGAGCAAACAGGAUUAGAUACCCUCGUAC
Molecule: ribosomal RNA, 447 nt
Filed under: uncultured bacterium
Lineage: Bacteria
Description: bacterial SSU rRNA
Rfam family: Bacterial small subunit ribosomal RNA
Source: RNAcentral